This 230-nucleotide long non-coding RNA is filed under the name Elaeis guineensis (African oil palm). RNAcentral describes it as "long non-coding RNA (EGUI_LNC042354)". Lineage: Eukaryota; Viridiplantae; Streptophyta; Magnoliopsida; Arecales; Arecaceae. The record is from RNAcentral.
UGGCCAUGGGCUUAAGGACUCGAUCUUUUAAUUAUCAUAGGACUACUCCUCUCAUCUACCGAGGUUGAUAGAUCCCAUCUUGAUGCGACCUAGUUCCUACAAUGAAUAUGCUACAGCCAACAUACACCUCAGGGUUUCGAAUGGCUAGGAGAUCGAGUUAUGAUGUAGUCAAACUAUAACACACUCAAGGUAAACUAUCGAUGCACCUCAGGUCAAAGAACUAGACACAC